This 429-nucleotide ribosomal RNA is filed under the name Triticum aestivum (bread wheat). RNAcentral describes it as "partial small subunit ribosomal RNA". The record is from RNAcentral. Lineage: Eukaryota; Viridiplantae; Streptophyta; Magnoliopsida; Poales; Poaceae.
AUGGUAUUAAACCCUUUAACGGUCGCGCAAAGUGCGAACCCUCGUGCGUGCCACAUCCGCAGGUUUUACUGUCGCAUUUUUACUGUGUCGAGUGAGGACAGACACAAAACGCUCGCACCCCUCGCUCAUAGUUCUUUCCUUCUCUCCUCCCAGCUAGGGUUCCCACCACCGCCGCCGCCGCCGCCGCCACCCUCACGGCGCUCGUGCUUCGUAUCCCGUCCCGAGCUCCACCUAUCAUCCAACACCGUCUCCCGCCGCCGGCGUCUGGCAGCGCGUUGGCGCCGCCGCGGCCACGCUACUUGCGGUGGUCCUCGUCGCCGUCGCGUUGGGGCGCCAGCGCCUCCGCCACAGGGCUCCGGCCGAAGGGAUCCCCGCGCUGGAGGACGGCUGCACGGUCGCUCACGGCAUAGGGAGCGAGGCAGUCGAUGA